Molecule: small RNA, 323 nt
Filed under: Pan troglodytes (chimpanzee)
Lineage: Eukaryota; Metazoa; Chordata; Mammalia; Primates; Hominidae
Description: retained intron
Source: RNAcentral
GAAGUAUUGGAAUCUGUUUUAGGAGACAAUCAAGACAAGGAAACAGGGGUAAAAAAGUUACCUGGAGUAAUGCUUUUCAAGAAAAAGAAGACCAGGAAGCUAAAAAUUGCUCUGGCUUUAUCUGAUCUUGUCAUUUAUACGAAAGCUGAGAAGUUCAAAAGCUUUCAACAUUCAAGAUUAUAUCAGCAAUUUAAUGAAAAUAAUUCUAUUGGGGAGACACAAGCCCGAAAACUUUCAAAAUUGCGAGUCCAUGAGUUUAUUUUUCACACCAGGAAGUUCAUUACCAGAAUAUAUCCCAAAGCAACAAGAGCAGACUCUUCUAA